Molecule: long non-coding RNA, 273 nt
Filed under: Piliocolobus tephrosceles (Ugandan red Colobus)
Lineage: Eukaryota; Metazoa; Chordata; Mammalia; Primates; Cercopithecidae
Description: lncRNA (ENSPTEG00000039040.1)
Source: RNAcentral
UAAAAUCAGAGCUCUGCCUUGUUGUGAUAAAGUUCGUUUGCUUGGAAAAACAAAUGCUGAAAGCCAGUUUUUAAACUCUUUGUGCAGAUGACCAAAGCAAUUGACUUGGCCAGGAAAAGGUGAGGAAACUUCCACCGAAAACAAAACAGAAAACAAGCCUCAGAACCUUGCCUGGAAGAAUUCAACUGGUGCCAAAGCUCUGUGACAACGUCAGUAGCUCCUGGUGCACCAUCUGCCUCCUCGACCCCCAGCAGGCACAUCGGUCGUGACGGU